GGAACAUGGAAGAAUAUGUGGACUAUUUUGGGGAUCAUAUGUAGAAGAGGCAUACAUCUGUGAUUCUUAAUGAUUUACUAGAAAUAGUGAAAUGAAGGAAAAGACACGCACAAUAUAAACACAUUCUAAAAAUUCUAGAUUCAAUAGACGUAAAACUACUUUGUCAAAUUGUGAUAAAAGUUUUUAAAUUCUUACUAUCAAUUUCUACCUUUACGUCAUUGUGGACCAUCAAGAAACAAUUCAUGAAUGAGCAGUGUACCCCAGACCACACUUUGAGUAGUAUUGGCAUAUACUACUUUGGCCCAUUUUCCAUUGUGACAUCAUCUCAACCUAACUGCUAGAGAGAUUGGGAAAUGUUGUUUUCUUUUGUGCUCAGAAAAAGGAAAUAGAUUGGUGGGCUUCUAGUCCAUCUCUGCCACAGCUCUGCAAUGAAUUUAAAUUGAACUUAUUGCAUGCAUUGCUUAAUGUCCUUUGUGGUUAAACUAUUUCCUAAAUGGUACAACCUGAAUAUCUUAGUGUGACAAAUUUACUCACGAAAGGUCCCUCUAUCAUCAGGUUGGAGGAAGUCUUGACAAGGAAGUUGGCAAGACUGGAAUGCCACUCAGAACCCAGUUUCUUUCUGCCUUGAGAGUGAGAGCAAGGAGACGACACACAGUAAAAAGAGCCAGAAGCUCUCAGAGAUGACCACAGGAUGGAGAAUGUCAGGGGUAGUGCAGCGUGGUGCAAGAAGCUCCAGGUCUGGGGCCAGUUGGACAGGGUUUGAUUCCAACUCUGGCACCUGUCAGUGGAGCAGCCUCAGUGAUGCCUCUCAUCUUCACGUUCUUUGCUUGAUAGAACAACAUGGCUGUCCAAGCACCAGACUUCAUGGGAAAGGAGAGGAGAGCUCAGGGAGCUUCCUUUCUGACUAUUCCGUGAAGGAUUUUAUUCUCUGGAAAAAAUCAUUAAAUAAUAUCAGAAAUGGCCAGAACAAUAGAAAUGAAGUCAAUGAAGUCUCUCAUGGAAACCAAAAGUGUCUGUAGUUUAAACACUGAGUUUUGCAAUACAACGCUCUGUGAUGACGACAACAAAGAAGGAGGAAGAGGAGGUGCAUACAAAUUAAUGUGACAGUUAAUACAAGAGCCGCAAUGCAAUUAUUUCUGGAUAUCACUGGUAAUUUGAAAGUGGCUAUAUACUCCCAAGUCAUGUGUUUGACCAACAGUAUGUAAUUUGCAUUCAGUAGUGUGUACUCAAUCAUUUUCAACUAAAGCUUUGUCAUUUUAAUGUUGACAUUUAAGUUCCAAUUUGAAGCUGGUAUAAGACAAGACCAAAUGUAUGGAACCAACACCUCAACCCUAGUUACCUAGUGUAUGCAAAUAUUCCGUAGCCCAGGGAUCAGUCCUCUUUAAGAGUGGCAUCCAAAAGGGGUCUCCUCUUGUUUGAGAUGGCAAUGUUUUCCACAGACACAAGACCACGAGACAUUCACAUGCUUCCCCCCACUUCUUUCUGCUAUCAAAAUCUACUUAUGCUCCAAGGCCCCACUCACAUCUCACUUCCUCCAUGAGGCUUUCCUCAGCUAUUCUGGAACAUGUAACCAUUCCAUGUGCUGAAUUCCCAUAGACUUUAUUGUCUACAGUAUUUUUUGUUGUUAUUUUAUGAGAGCUUACAUUCCUAUGAGCAUGUUUUAACAUUUUUUGUCUUCUCAAAGGAAGAGGAUGAUUUAUUUCUGUUUUUUGGUGGGGGGAAGAUAUCCUUCAUUUAAUAUUUAACAGAAGCAAGACCUGGAUAAGUAGUCACUGCAAGGAUGUAAAGAGAUGUAAAUGACUAUUCCACUGCACUAUGUUUAGGACAAUGGUUUCUCUGAGUGAAUACAAGUGGGAGAAAGGUGAUAGAGGAAUAGUCAAGGAGUCAAGAAGUUUGCCUCUGAAAUCACAUCAAGGGUCUGGUGCAAAAGAAGAACCUUUAAAACUACUGGCUCAGCAGCUGGAAUUGAAGGAGUCUUCUAGGCAGCAAAAGGAGAUCAUUCUAUGUCAUUACACCAAGAUCAAGAGUUUGGUGAAGUGAGGUAGGAUAACUUUCUCUCUAAACCACCAGACCAGAGUUGAAAUGGCAGAGAUGAAUAAAUACUUACUUAUGCAUCACUUAGCUGUAGCUGCUGCAUAUUGGAGAACUUUCCAUAGAUAUAUGAAGAGCUAAUGUGACAGCCUAUUCCACAUGAGCCAUGUCAACUGCACAGGGAGUUAAUGGUCAUAUCUGGAAAUAUCAACUUGCAAUAUUAGCCUAGAUGAAAGCAAUUAUCAGACCAUGGUUCUAGGGGAGCACCUGUUGAGUUAUUCCUGUUGGAGUAAAGCUACUGAAACUGAAGUUGAGGUGUUGAAUUCUGCUAGAAAAUCUCAUAUAAGGAAUUAUCACCCUAAGGUUGUACAGCAUUUGAAAUUCAAAAGGAAGGUGUUACCUGCUAUCUUGCAUAAAUCUCUAACAAUUGCAAAUGGAAUAUAUUAUCGUCAGAUCCGAUUGCUUAUAUCCAAUCUUGCCUCAUCCCAGCAUUUGUAAAGGAGCAAAGAAGAUAAUCCCCUGGCUUCUGAGAGCUCACAUAUCAGCCAACAGAUUAAAUAUGAGAAUUGUAUUACCUGAAUGAGGACAGAAGGGCAAUGGACAAUCUCUAACAGAAAUGAAACACUUAAAUUAAGGAAAUGAAGUUCCUGUGGGAGGAUGUCAGUCACUACCAGCUGGCCAAGGACAGAUUUUAAACAAACUUUGGAAAUUUGGAAAUAAUAUGAGCAAUUUACUUUGGAGAGAAAAUUUGAGACAAUGGACACCGCCAAUUGUCCCAACCAGCCAGGUUUGGAUAAUCACAGAAUUCAAGAAUUCACAUAUAUGAUCUGGAGCCCAGUUGCUGAGUUGCUUUCCACAGGUAUUUUGUCAAUAAGAAAACAUUGCAAAUAUGACCAAUGAGUGGAGAAAGAAUCACUAACACACUUAAGGGAGAGAAUACGUGGAAAUAAACCCUAUAGAAAUCCAGAACAUGAAGGCCUUUAAGUGACUUCAGGGAGGAGGGAUGACCAAGGACCGAUUUUUACUGACCAACUGUCAAUUUGUAAUACUCCUUAAAAAACAGGCAAAACCAAAGCUAUAGCACAGAGUAGAAAUGAUUUGAUGAUGUAAUGCUUUUGCAUCUGAGCUUUUAAAGCUCUUAGAAAUCUUUUUAAGAAGAUUGAAGACUUCAAACAAAAGCCAGGCAGCCUCCGGAAUGGCCAAUUCUAAGUGGAAGACUAGAGUCCAGUCAUUCUCCAGGGAAAGGAACCUGAUUCCUCGGUGAGCCAGGCGCUGCUCUGCUUGGUCACUCUCAGAACAGAAGUCCAGGAGCAGCUCCAAGGCUUUCCUCAGGAUCUGGCCAUCAGGCCUCUCCCGAAUGAGUCCACCUCUCCCUCUGGAUCCCCAGAAAGAUGAUUAAAUGAGUCAUAAUUUAAGAAAGAAAAGGCUGGCAACUGGGACCUCAGCUUGAGGUCACGACUGUGUAUAAAGAAUGUGAGGAAAAGAAUCCAUCAUUCCAUUGAUUUCUUACAUCUUUCCCGUGGACUAGCAAUUUAAUGAAAAAUAGCCAAUUGUCCUGAAGGUGUUGCUCUUGGAAGGUGCCUGCAUACCAGGAAAGCCAUGAAUGCCGCAGGGACCUCAAGCAGACAAGACCCUGAAGGCAGGAGGUGCAAGAGAGCUGAGAAUCAUGCAGACUUCAGCGUUCCCACGUGCUCCCCAUCCCAGGGGAGAGAAAAAUUAAAAAAAAAAAAAAUUUCUUGACCUGGAGCUCCCUCUCUAGCUCUCCCUAGUAUCUUGCCAAUCCUUCCCACACUAAUUUCUUGAAAAGUCUUUCUGCUCUCUGUCCAUUCACUGCUCAGUGCACUUUACCGGAAGCGUUCAAAUCAGCUUACCAAUGACCUCCACAUUGCUAAAGCCAGUGAAGUUUUAAAAUUUCUUAUCUGACUGGACCUUUUUGUCUUACUUGGUAUUAUUCUUUCCUCCUUUUAAUGAUAAUAAUAAUAGAAUAAUAGCUAAUAUUACUGAGUAUUAAGUAUUUGCCACACAUUGUGCUAAACAUACAUUAAAACUCCACUUUUUUUCCUGAAAUGUAAAUUUGGCAUCUUCCUUGGUGAACAAACUAAGUUACAUGCUAUAUGGUGGCACGUGAGUGAAGAGUCCUCUUGGUGUGCUGCGUACAUAGGGACCAUGGAUCCUGCAGACCCUGUUGGAGAAUACAUCACUGAUCCCAAACCCCAUUUGCUGGUGGUACCAAGGCUCUGAUCUUAUCGCCCUCUCUGGCUGGGUGGUUUUGGGAAGGGACUAGAGCCCCCAGAGAAAGGCCUCAGAGAAGCAGAGACUAACUCAUCAGCAAUAAUAGAUGCCGGCAUGCUGUAUGAAACACCUACAACCUGAGAUUAUUUCAGUGACUGCCUGUCUUCCUUUUUCAUUCUGUUUCUCUCCACGAUAACUUUUGCUCUGAACUUUGUGCCACCGCACAGAGUACAGGUCAGCUAAGAACAGACUACCAGUUUAUACAUGACUUCAGUUCUAUUCUAGGAAGCAAAGGCCAUA
RNAcentral lists this long non-coding RNA (4563 nucleotides) under Equus caballus (horse). RNAcentral's name for it is "lncRNA (ENSECAG00000043645.2)". The record is from RNAcentral. Lineage: Eukaryota; Metazoa; Chordata; Mammalia; Perissodactyla; Equidae.